AGUGAACGCUGGCGGUAGGCCUAACACAUGCAAGUCGAACGGCAGCACAGUAAGAGCUUGCUCUUACGGGUGGCGAGUGGCGGACGGGUGAGGAAUACAUCGGAAUCUACUUUUUCGUGGGGGAUAACGUAGGGAAACUUACGCUAAUACCGCAUACGACCUACGGGUGAAAGCAGGUGAUCUUCGGCCCUUGCGCGAUUGAAUGAGCCGAUGUCGGAUUAGCUAGUUGGCGGGGUAAAGGCCCACCAAGGCGACGAUCCGUAGCUGGUCUGAGAGGAUGAUCAGCCACACUGGAACUGAGACACGGUCCAGACUCCUACGGGAGGCAGCAGUGGGGAAUAUUGGACAAUGGGCGAAAGCCUGAUCCAGCAAUACCGCGUGGGUGAAGAAGGCCUUCGGGUUGUAAAGCACUUUUGUUGGGAAAGAAAAGCAGCAGGUUAAUACCCCGCUGUUCUGACGGUACCCAAAGAAUAAGCACCGGCUAACUUCGUG
Molecule: ribosomal RNA, 492 nt
Filed under: uncultured bacterium
Lineage: Bacteria
Description: partial 16S ribosomal RNA
Rfam family: Bacterial small subunit ribosomal RNA
Source: RNAcentral